RNAcentral lists this ribosomal RNA (711 nucleotides) under Triticum aestivum (bread wheat). RNAcentral's name for it is "partial small subunit ribosomal RNA". Lineage: Eukaryota; Viridiplantae; Streptophyta; Magnoliopsida; Poales; Poaceae. The record is from RNAcentral.
AUGUGUGUCUCAAAAAGCCAAGGCAGAAUGGGUUUUCGUGAUAUAUAUUGUUUUAAUUUGGCAAUGCUGGCUAAACAAGCUUGGUGUCUUCUUGAGAAUCCAGACUCCUUGUGUGCUGCCAUUUUGGGAGCAAAGUAUUUUCCUUAUGGAGACUCAUUGAAUGCGAAGUUAAAAAAAGGAUCAUCCUUCACAUGGCAAAGUAUCAUGGCAGGUGUUAAUACCUUAAAAAAUGGCUAUAUCUGGCAAGUGGGAAAUGGUCAAAAUAUUGAUAUUUGGGAAGAUGCCUGGAUCCCAAACCGUGCUAAUAGAAAGGUCAUCACUCCAAAGGGGCAACAUUUGUUGUAAAUAGUGUCCGAAUUAAUUCACCCAUAUUCAAACAAAUGGAAUGAGGAUCUUAUCAGCCAGACCUUGUGGCCCGUUGAUGCACAACAGGUCCUUGCUAUCCCUCUGCCUCAGUUUGAUAUGUCAGAUUUUGUUGCCUAGAGUCAUACUGAGAGUGGGAGUUUUUUUGUUCGAUCUGCAUAUUUUGUCGAAUGGGAUCAUCAACAUGGAAGGAAACUUCGUCAUACAAAUGUAAUGGGUCGAACUAAUUUUAAUCCCAUUUGGGGUAAGAUUUGGAAUUUAUCUUGUCCAGCGAAGGUGAUUUUUUUAUUUGGCAGACACUACACAACACUCUCUCGUGUCGUGUUACGCUCGUCAAUAGACACAUGA